UAUCCUCAGCCUUAACUCGCUGCGGGCGCUGGAAGGAGGGCGCAGGCGAUUUACACCCCAAUCUCCAGUCGGGAAUCGACCUUCCUAAUGCUGCUGACUUGAGCACUUUUCGAUUUAGAAACAAUUUUCUUAGAAGGAGUGGGAUGUAUCGCCAAACUCCUCCCGCUCAUCUGUCAAAGAGAGACCCAGAAUCAAAAGAACAUAAUUAACUGCUCAAAAGAAUUCAAUGAGAGUUGAAGCCAUUCCUUUCCAGAAUCGAGGAGAAAAUCCACAGCCCACUAGUACCAGGUCCCAGCUGGAAAGUGCCAUUUCCUCAGCAGCACAGUAGAGGAGAAGGUUGUCUAUUCCUAAAAGACAAUACUAGUAUAAUAAUAUCAUGCUAACAAGAAAAAUAGCUUUCCUGGGAUUAUUGGUGUUGUCUCUGAAGAAAAGAGUUAGAAACUGAACUGGGAGAAGAAAUUGGAAUUGGAGUACCUACUUCCAUUCUUCUUUAUGAUGCAGAGCAUGACACAGCUCAGGCAUGAAUUACUGCUCAGAAGUGCUAAGGGAAUGAAAAGAACUCUUGACUAAACUUGUGGGCCUCCUUCCUGAGGGCAGGAGGGGUGCCUUCCUGAGAACUAGAAGUAAAGACCAGAACAGUAGGAGAAAGAAACAAGUUAGAAGUUUGGCGGGACAUGUUGGCUUAUACCUGUAAUACUAGCACUCAGGGAGGUGGGGGCAGGAGGAUCACUUAAGCUCAGGAACUCAAGACCAGCCUGAGCAAGAGUGAGACCCCAUCUCUGAAAAAACAAAAAAAGGAACAAGUCAGAAGUGAAGUGAGCCUCCCUCGAAGACACCAUUGCUGGAAAAGCCUAAAUGUGGAUGCACCUUCCAUUGGGCUGUGAGAGGUGCCUGACCUUUCAUGGAAAGUUCUAUUUUUCCAUAUAAUGAUCCAAAAGGUUUAGUCUGGAGGAGUCUGACAGGCCAAGGGAGGGAGAGACCUAACCUGCCUCUCUUCUGUAGGGUUUGGAAAUGUGAGAGGGGCCUGCUAACCAUGAGAAAAUCUCCUAGUUGAAAGUGUAAUAAACAGUUUAGAUCAA
This is a non-coding RNA of Microcebus murinus (gray mouse lemur), 1079 nucleotides long. Lineage: Eukaryota; Metazoa; Chordata; Mammalia; Primates; Cheirogaleidae. The record is from RefSeq and is a predicted model, not a curated record.